UUGGACAAUGGGCGAAAGCCUGAUCCAGCAAUGCCGCGUGAGUGAUGAAGGCCUUCGGGUUGUAAAGCUCUUUUACCCGGGAAGAAAAUGACAGUACCGGGAGAAUAAGCUCCGGCUAACUCCGUGCCAGCAGCCCCGGUAAUACGGAGGGAGCUA
This 156-nucleotide ribosomal RNA is filed under the name uncultured bacterium. Its description in RNAcentral is "partial 16S ribosomal RNA". It matches the Rfam family "Bacterial small subunit ribosomal RNA", at positions 364 to 537 of the family's 1533-position model. The record is from RNAcentral.